Long non-coding RNA from Zingiber officinale, 141 nucleotides. RefSeq lists it as uncharacterized. The record is from RefSeq and is a predicted model, not a curated record. NCBI's taxonomy places the organism in Eukaryota, Viridiplantae, Streptophyta, Magnoliopsida, Zingiberales, Zingiberaceae. The transcript has 3 exons.
GGAGUACAAUGGAAUUGGGUUUGGUAUCAAUAGGAUUGACCUGUUGGAUGUGAGAGUAAUCCAUGGAAACAUUGUGGAAAAUUGAUAUCGAUGGGAAGGUGAAUGGAGCAGUUGAGACAUGCUUUGGGUCUUUUCAUCAUU